RNAcentral lists this ribosomal RNA (253 nucleotides) under uncultured bacterium. RNAcentral's name for it is "partial 16S ribosomal RNA". It matches the Rfam family "Bacterial small subunit ribosomal RNA", at positions 524 to 776 of the family's 1533-position model. The record is from RNAcentral.
UACGAGGGGGGCAAGCGUUGUUCGGAAUUACUGGGCGUAAAGCGCACGUAGGCGGAUUUGUAAGUCAGGGGUGAAAUCCCGGGGCUCAACCUCGGAACUGCCUUUGAUACUGCAAAUCUCGAGUCCGGAAGAGGUGAGUGGAAUUCCUAGUGUAGAGGUGAAAUUCGUAGAUAUUAGGAAGAACACCAGUGGCGAAGGCGGCUCACUGGUCCGGUACUGACGCUGAGGUGCGAAAGCGUGGGGAGCAAACAGG